AAGAGGUACGAGCUAUUGUCACGGAAUUUUUGUUGAAGAUUUAAGCUUCACGUUUUAAUCUGAAACAAGGGUAAUUUUACAGGGCAAGUAUCGAACAAUUUUUUUUUUUUUUAACAUAUUCCAAAAUGGCCAAGGUACAGUAAAUCUUCAGGAAGCUUUUAUUUUCAGCUACUCUACUUUUAAUUCAAAAUAGUACAAGGUAAUUUAUAAAUACUGAUAAAAGUAUGAUAGCCUUUAAUUCGCACGCCUACUCCUGCAAAUCUUACGACCCCGAGCGACUUUCCACGCGCGAAAGGAAGCGAAAAACUGGAAAACGCAACGACUUAUUGUUCGCGGCAUCGCGGUGAUAAGACUCGAGGCGGUGUUCAAUCGCGUUGGAACCUUCGUUACAGCUGCGGAAAUGUCCGCUGAAACGAGGUGAAGGCUACCAGAUGUAGAUACAGGUCGGGCCCGCGGUGUAUUAAGCUGUGUACGCAUGCACAGGUUGCGGGCGCUCGCACGUAGACGCCUGCCGGCGUUAGGUCGGUUAAAGAAGCUACGGCGAUGCUUAACAGUGCAUAAGUAAGUAACUAACAAGCGAGUUGCAUAACACCGCGGCCGUUGUCGCCGGGCGAUAUGCACUUGGUGUCGGGAGUUCGUGUAGAACGUUAAGGCUUGCUCGCACAGCAAGUACGGCAACACGAUGCCGACGUCGACUACCUAUCAGCGAUUGCGUUAACCUUAAGGCGAUACCAGCCUGUGUGUGUGUGUGUGUGUGUGUGUGUGUGUGUGUGUGUGUGUGUGCGUGCGUGUGUGUGUGUGUUUGUACUCGUUCUACACAAGUGUGACGCGGCUUAGCGAUAUCGUGCGUGCAAGUGCGGACACCCGAGAGCAUUGUGUGCAACUGCAUCACGGAACGACCGCCGCGCGACACGAUAGAACGCGAUGCAGUUCUUCUCGUCGCGGAAAUUAUAUAAUAUUAACGCGGGCUGGCUACUGCACCGCCCUCAGGUGACGUAAUCGACGCUGAUUUCUGGCCAGUUCGCGAGAACACCGGCAAAAAACUCCACCUGAUAAGCGGAAAAAGAAUCCCCGAGGAGCUAAGGUUAAUGGAUUUCAAACAGCUGGAAACGGUGACGAGGAUUUUCUGAUAUUACCUUGAAACAAGCUAACUGUUAUUUAGCAGGCGCGACUGCUGACUAAAAAUGACGAAGUUGAGGAAAAGACAUGUGGAAGAAAACUAAACGAAAUUUUUGUUUGCUGUUUGUCAAAUUGCACCUUCUUGGCAAAAUUUAAAUACAAAUUGUUGGUAAUCGGAGAUGUUUUGGAAAGCAUUGACCGCGUUCCAGGAAAUAUGAUUCAUGAUGCGGGACGUGGGACCAUUGAACUGUGUGCGGAACAAUCCCGUGAUUUCCGGAACGUCUGGUACAGGGUUGGGCAAAAAUCCAUUCGAACAGCAAUCCACUGAGUUGCUUGAGAAAUAAUACAAAAAUUGUUGAAGAGGAGUUUAUACGAAAUGCAUGUUUCGAACGAGGCCAAUUUCAAAUUAGAACUUAAUUACAGUCCAGGAAAAAUGUACAGUAGAAGUUACAAUAAACUUAUAUGCAAUGUGAGAGAAACACAGAAAUAUAUAAACACAUCUUUGAAUCUAGAUCACAUUGCAAUUUUUAUUAUAGACAAAUUCUAUCUAGGCUCAAAUUGAGUUCUAAUAUUACUAUUUAAAGGACGCUGACUACUUAAAUAAUCAAAAAAUAUCACAAUUCAUUCGAAUAAAUUUCCAACAUUUAUAUCAUCAUAAUUGUACGUUCGCUCAACGUGGUAUAUAAUAUCGUUCCACAGCUUAAAUUUGUGAUUUAUAUCGAAUCGGUAACGAAUAAAAAAUUGUUUGUUUCAUUCGUUAUUCCAAUUUUUUUUAUUUACAUAAGAAUUUUGCCCCUCUGAUCCGGUAACCCUGAACGGCCUGCCAUUGCUCGAGAUAAACGAACAGUAAUUACGUCUUACAAGUUACAUUUCAAUCGACUUUUACUCUUGCCGCCAUUGUAAUCUGGUCUAUCCGCUUAUUCGAUUCCACGAAUGCACGCGGCGCGCGUUUCCAGGCAGCAAGUGAACGAACCAUUAUCGAGCAAUCCGCGCAUACGAUGAAAAACGCAGAGAAGCACUUUCUAAGGCAGCGUUUACCAGACUUUUUUUUGGCGCGGAAUCACUUUUCACGAAAAGCUCGCAUAGAUUUGUAGCUACUCAGUUUUUUAAACGAAAAAUGUACAAUUAAUGUUUAAAUACAUUUUGUCUUCGAAAUCGAGACGAAAAUAAAAGCGUACGUGUGCAAAUCAUAAGAUCGACGAAAGGUUAAACACGCGAUUUCUGUAGAAAAAAUAUAAACGUAUACAAACGUACAGACAAAUUACAAGUUUGAAGAUGGAUAUAAACAUACAAGUACGUAUGCAAAUAAUAAUAUCUGUUGAAAGGUAAACCGUUUUUCUAUAUACGGAGAAUGCAUAUGCAUACGUAUCGAAACAAUACAAAUUAGGAGUUCGAAGAGGGAAAAACUAGUUACAAAGAAUUCUUAGCUCUUCGUAAACAUAUCACCGCACUGCCACUUUUUUGUUAAUGUCAUUAGCAUAUAAAGAGUAUAUGCAAAGCGUAUUAUUAAUGUACGUCUAUUAUUAGUCGGUGCUGGUAUAUUGGUAACCGUAAAAAAUAUUGCAAAAAAUGAUAAUGAUUGACGUAUAGCGAACGCUGCAUAUAUGCAGGGAUGAUUGAAUCUAAUAAACGUAAAAAAUUAUAUCUACAAGCAAUGUGCAAGUACCGAUACAAAAUAAAAUUGAUGUAAAAUGAAAUAAUGAUGUAAUAUUAAUAACUACGUGACGUUAGAGUGUGUUCAAUUCGAACAGGAACAGGUUACUUGUAGUAUACCACGUGGGUAUUCACAUUGCACCUUAAUUUUAUUUUUAAUCAUCAUCGUGGUACAAAUAAUUAUUCAAUGAGGAUUGAUUAAUUAAUAAACCAAUUUUUUUCUGUCUCGACAGGAAAAAAAAUCGGACUGAAAAUACAUUCUUUCUUUGCAAUUCAAUGUAAGUAACACACAUUCACGACACAAAGUAUUCCUGUACAUCCGAAGAGAACCAGUACAGUGUCGGAAACGUUUACAUAAUGUAUGAAAUAUUUUUUCAGUCAAUGAAUAUUUAAACACUACCAGCUACCAGUACGACCCAAUUUCAACGUGCAUUAAAAAUACGAGCAGGCAAAGUCGCUAUUAAUCUCGUUUAUCGAUUGCAAUUUAUUUUUUGAAUUAUUAAUUGCUAUAUCUCACAAGACAGGUGGCCACCUCGCACAGAAAUAUACUUUGGGAGAUGUCGUUUCAAGGAAACAGGGACAACACAUCAGUCUUAAGACAGGUGGUCACCUCGCACGGAAACACAAUUUGGAAGACGUCGUUUCAAGGAAACAGCGACACCCGGUAUGCAGGCGAACCACGCGACGUAUCGUGCGACAGAGUAGAAGGGCGUGCCUGCAGUCGCUGCACACUGCGCAGUUUGUUGCACGCGCUGCAAUCGUCCGUAUGCAGCCGAGAUGUGAGAGUUGCACGAGUCGCAUACGUGAACGCACACGCGUGCACGCAAACACACCGAGUCUCGGUCGUGCACACCAGUACAGAGCUCGAUUUUUACGCGACGAUAGAUAUCUAAUGUGACAUUAGGGGUCGCGGACAAUGCACAUUAAUUGAACGAAACAUAUUUCAUUCAUUAAAUAUAAUAAUUCUAUUGCAGUGAUACCUUAUCGCGCGAUAUCGUUUCUUUUAUCUAUAUUGGUUAUUGUCUACUAUUCCCCAACGUCAACAGGAGAUAACGCUUUAAAUACGACAAAAAGGCAUGAUAUAAAGUAAGAAUUGUGAUCAGAUCAAGAAUAUACUUCUAUUGUACAGUAGGUACUAAUUUGAAUUUAAUAAAUUAGUCGAGUCUGUCUAUAAAAAUUAUUUUUCACUUUCUCGAUCAUACCGAAGGCUAUUUUGUUAAAUAACAUUUAGGAGCGACUUCUAUUAUUUAUGAGAAAAAGAUUUCUAAAGAAAAAACGAAAAAUCUAUGACUAAUCGUAAGUGUAUAAUAGAAUCAUUUAAUGAAUGAAUCUCGUUUCAUUCGGUUAAUACGCACUUUCUAACCUCGUCGCGUACCAUAAUUUCAUACUUUCUAAAUCAAAAAAAAAAAACUAUCAUUCACUCACUGAUUAUAAAACUAAAUGUUGAUGUCUUUCAUACGUUGGAUACCUUAUCAAAUAAUUUACCGAAGAAAUAUAGAUUUAUGUCCACGAACGAAUUUCAAAUCUCGUGUCCGAUGAAAAUAAUAACCAUGCGUAAAAUAGCUGACCACAUCUGAACUAGUAGGACAACUUUUCAAAGUUGUUUAUGAAUCACGUUCCUCGGAGCGAUACGUUUCGAAGCACGAUUCAGAUUUUUCGGUGGUUGCUGAUUAGAUGGCACGAGAUUAUUUUUCAUAGCCCUCGGUGCAUACAUGCCGUGUUGUUUGGCCGUGAAAUGCGAAAUGAUUCAAAAGAGCUUAUAUAGAUGCGCUGGAAACCUAAUAAUCUGAUAUCAUACAAACGUAAUACGCUGCAGCGUAAACACUCCUGUUAUUAAAGUGCACGAAAGAGGAAACUUCUUGUCUACCUGACAUUAGCUAUGGCAAAAAAAAAGCUUUUAAUUAAAACGCUUUUGAAUCCGUUCUCCCGAAGCAUAAAUCAUUAAUAAACAUAUUCCACAAACCUUAUCUAGCGAUUCUUAUCAUCCCCGGCAAAAAAACAAGUGCAUUUCACAGGUCAUUCAUGCCGUGCUAUAAGUUACGAUCAGUCACGCGUGACAUACAUAUUAACCUAACUCGGUUGCAAACAAUAUGUAAUUUUCUCACCGCUCGUAAUCAUCGUUUUUCCGCGCGACCAAUCGCCCAUAAGCGACCGCGUUUAACAAAUCAUUCCAGUUUCUCGAGUUGCUCCUGAGGUGCUCGUAAAAUGAUGAAGAAAAGUGUAUCAAAGUAUGCGAUACGAUGCACCAAGCAUUAAACGUCUGUUGGAUGGAUAUACAUUUCCGCUCAUAAAUCAUCGAAUGCCCAGUAAAUGUAGAAUACAAUUGUCUUUACGGAAUGGUGUAAAUUAUGAAAAGAAAUUAACAUUUAUUGCUCAUUUGCGAUAAAUAGAAUGUGUAAAUCAUAUUCCCUAUCAAAGAUUUAAUCGAACUGUCGACGAACAAUAUUGACACGCGUGCGUGUAUGUUUGCUUUUAUAUCAAAAUUAUUUGGAACAACGAUACCUUUUAAAAUUAAAAAACACACGAUAUUAAAGAGAGACAGGAUACACUCUAUCCAUAUAGUUGUAUAUCUACUAUAAAUACAAUGAAUUGUGAAAAGUGUUUAUCGUACGAAAUCCAAAAUAUAAAAUUCGUUCAU
This is a long non-coding RNA of Hylaeus volcanicus, 5410 nucleotides long. RefSeq lists it as uncharacterized. The transcript has 3 exons. Lineage: Eukaryota; Metazoa; Arthropoda; Insecta; Hymenoptera; Colletidae. The record is from RefSeq and is a predicted model, not a curated record.